This 457-nucleotide ribosomal RNA is filed under the name uncultured bacterium. Its description in RNAcentral is "bacterial SSU rRNA". It matches the Rfam family "Bacterial small subunit ribosomal RNA", at positions 30 to 480 of the family's 1533-position model. The record is from RNAcentral.
AUUGAACGCUGGCGGCAUGCUUUACACAUGCAAGUCGAACGGUAACAGGCCUUCGGGCGCUGACGAGUGGCGAACGGGUGAGUAAUAUAUCGGAACGUGCCCAGUCGUGGGGGAUAACGUAGCGAAAGUUACGCUAAUACCGCAUACGAUCUACGGAUGAAAGCGGGGGAUCGCAAGACCUCGCGCGAUUGGAGCGGCCGAUAUCAGAUUAGGUAGUUGGUGGGGUAAAGGCUCACCAAGCCAACGAUCUGUAGCUGGUCUGAGAGGACGACCAGCCACACUGGAACUGAGACACGGUCCAGACUCCUACGGGAGGCAGCAGUGGGGAAUUUUGGACAAUGGGGGGCGAACCCUGAUCCAGCAAUGCCGCGUGAGUGAAGAAGGCCUCGGUUGGUUAAAGCUCUUUUGUCUAGGGAAGAAACAGCAGCUCUAACACAGACUGCGAAUGACGGUACCU